Molecule: ribosomal RNA, 253 nt
Filed under: uncultured bacterium
Lineage: Bacteria
Description: partial 16S ribosomal RNA
Rfam family: Bacterial small subunit ribosomal RNA
Source: RNAcentral
UACGGAGGUUGCAAGCGUUAUCCGGAUUUAUUGGGUUUAAAGGGUGCGUAGGCGGGCCUGUAAGUCAGUGGUGAAAUCCUGCAGCUUAACUGUAGAACUGCCAUUGAUACUGCAGACCUUGAGUGUAGUUGAGGUGGGCGGAAUGUGUAAUGUAGCGGUGAAAUGCUUAGAGAUUACACAGAACACCGAUUGCGUAGGCAGCUCACUAAACUACUACUGACGCUGAGGCACGAAAGCGUGGGGAUCAAACAGG